CCUACGGGUGGCAGCAGUGGGGAAUAUUGCACAAUGGGGGGAACCCUGAUGCAGCGACGCCGCGUGGGUGAAGGAGUAUUUCGGUAUGUAAAGCCCUAUCAGCAGGGAAGAACAAUGACGGUACCUGACUAAGAAGCACCGGCUAAAUACGUGCCAGCAGCCGCGGUAAUACGUAUGGUGCAAGCGUUAUCCGGAUUUACUGGGUGUAAAGGGUGCGCAGGCGGCGCGUUAAGCCUGGUGUGAAAGUCCGCGGCCCAACCGCGGGACUGCAUUGGGAACUGGCGCGCUGGAGUGCCGGAGGGGUAGGCGGAAUGCGUGGUGUAGCGGUGAAAUGCAUAGAUAUCACGCAGAACUCCGAUGGCGAAGGCAGCAUACCGGCGCUCAACUGACGCUCAUGCACGAAAGUGUGGGUAUCGAACAGGAUUAGAUACCCUUGUAGUC
Molecule: ribosomal RNA, 441 nt
Filed under: uncultured bacterium
Lineage: Bacteria
Description: partial 16S ribosomal RNA
Rfam family: Bacterial small subunit ribosomal RNA
Source: RNAcentral